UACGUAGGGUGCGAGCGUUUAAUCGGAAUUACUGGGCGUAAAGCGUGCGCAGGCGGUGAUGUAAGACAGAUGUGAAAUCCCCCGGGCUCAACCUGGGAACUGCAUUUGUGACUGCAUCGCUGGAGUGCGGCAGAGGGGGAUGGAAUUCCGCGUGUAGCAGUGAAAUGCGUAGAUAUGCGGAGGAACACCGAUGGCGAAGGCAAUCCCCCUGGGCCUGCACUGACGCUCAUGCACGAAAGCGUGGGGAGCAAACAGG
This 256-nucleotide ribosomal RNA is filed under the name uncultured bacterium. Its description in RNAcentral is "partial 16S ribosomal RNA". It matches the Rfam family "Bacterial small subunit ribosomal RNA", at positions 524 to 776 of the family's 1533-position model. The record is from RNAcentral.